Molecule: long non-coding RNA, 1199 nt
Organism: Pyrus x bretschneideri (Chinese white pear)
Lineage: Eukaryota; Viridiplantae; Streptophyta; Magnoliopsida; Rosales; Rosaceae
Exons: 7
Source: RefSeq, a predicted model, not a curated record
CAGAAAUCCAAAAAGGAAAAAACUGUGCUCUUCGACCGAUUAGCGAUUUCGAUUCUGCUUCGUGAGAUCUGUUCGAUCUUUGCUUCCUCAUCUGUUCAAUCUCUUCGACGCACCAUCAUGCUCCCAAUUUAGCCUUUGACAGGAAACAUUGGUCUUCAAAUUUUAAGGUUUUAUUGUACAGGCUUGCAAGCCCUUUCUGGGUGAGGAAACGUUACCGUUCGAAUUUUAUGGUUUUUGUAUAGAAGUUUGCAGGCCCCUUUUGAUUAAGGAAGCAGUGGCCAUCGUUUUUGCCGCUUUUGUAUGUAGGGUUCCAGAUGCUUGAGAUGAUGAAGAAUAAAAGAAAUUAAAUGCCGCUUUGGAUGAUAAGUUGAUGUUGAUGACAAGUACUAUUGAUGAUACCCACCGUUUCUCAUCUGUUCUAAUGCUGCAGGUUUGUAUUUCAGUGAAAAAAUUCUAGGAAAAACAAAAGGAGGUUGAGCCCAUCUACAUGGGGAGUCGAAAGAAAAAUUAAACUCAACAACUAGAGAAUGAGAAUGCGUCUGAUGAAAAAUAGGAAAUGAACACAUAUAAGGUAAUGUCACAAGGUGGACUUAAAAAGGAUCAAGUAUGCAGGGGAAUGGUAGGAUCAACAUAUCAAAGGUAGAGAUUGACUCUCUCUCAUGUUAAACUUAUACUGUGAUGUUUAUUAUUAUUAAAUUUUGGAAAAACAAUUGUUUAUCAUAACCUUAUCACAAUACUAAAUAACAGGGAGAGAGAUGAAAAAUAGAAAGGAAUCUAUUUUAUUGUAUGUUUACUUUGGAAAUUUUGGAUAACAGUCAUGAAUUAUGGUCUUAGUGCAUCUCUAUUUUUUUUUCUUCACGUUUUUGCUUACUGUUUAUAGCUAAAUGAUUUUUAUUUGGGUCUUCCAAAAUUUUAACUAUUACUCUGAAUCUCUGAAGAAGUUUUAUUAAUUUUUUAUUUAUUGGUUUCAAGUAUGGUUGUUGACUAUGUGAAUUUUAAGUUUUGCACAGUUAAGAGACUAGAUGGUAAUGUUUCAUUUCUCUCUUUCUCCCUUCUUAUUUUCUCAGCCACGAGUCUUAAUAAGAUACGACUGACUAAGAAUUUGUUAAUCAUUUUAACACGUAUGAGAUAAGAUAUUUACUUUUUAUGAUACAUUUCUAAUUUUUGCAAAUUACUUGAUUUACUAUUGUUAUAUGGUU